This 281-nucleotide long non-coding RNA is filed under the name Physcomitrium patens. RNAcentral's name for it is "long non-coding RNA (PPAT_LNC007996)". Lineage: Eukaryota; Viridiplantae; Streptophyta; Bryopsida; Funariales; Funariaceae. The record is from RNAcentral.
AAGGAGAGAGCUAGCUUCAUGCUUCGGGCGGGAAAAGAAGACAAAGAAUUGGGUUUUUUUUCUUCAUAGGGUUUUGAGAAGACUGAGGCAAUCGUUGCUGAAGUCAGUGUUGUAAUGGUGAAUCGGGAUUUUUAAUGAAGUGGGUUUGAUUACUCUUGACUCUUUUGUGAAAUCGAGUUACGUCUGUGAUGAAGAGUUAAAAAGGUGUCUAUAGGAUUGAGUAUGCGGAGUGAAUGAAAUUUAUUGGGUUAAUCUAACAAGACAAUCAGUGGAUACAAGAU